GCGGUCGUAGUCCAGCUUGGUUAGGACAUCAGGUUCCCAACCUGACGACCCGGGUUCAAAUCCCGGCGACCGCACCA
RNAcentral lists this transfer RNA (77 nucleotides) under Thermoproteota archaeon. Its description in RNAcentral is "Crenarchaeota archaeon (anaerobic digester metagenome) tRNA-Gly". It matches the Rfam family "tRNA". From Rfam's summary of the family: Transfer RNA (tRNA) molecules are approximately 80 nucleotides in length. Their secondary structure includes four short double-helical elements and three loops (D, anti-codon, and T loops). Lineage: Archaea; Thermoproteati; Thermoproteota. The record is from RNAcentral.